CCGAAACCGGGCGACCUACCCAUGAGCAGGAUGAAGCGAAAGUAAAAUUUCGUGGAGGUCCGAACCCACGAGCGUUGAAAAGCUCGGGGAUGACUUGUGGGUAGCGGUGAAAUUCCAAUCGAGCCCGGAGAUAGCUGGUUCUCCCCGAAAUAGCUUUAGGGCUAGCCUCAAGGUGAGAGAUACGGAGGUAGAGCACUGAAUGUCCUAGGGGGUAUUGCACCUACCGAAGACUAUCAAACUCCGAAUGCCGUCAUCUUAUACUUGGGAGUCAGACUGUGGGUGAUAAGAUUCAUAGUCGAAAGGGCAACAGCCCAGAUCGUCAGCUAAGGUCCCUAAAUGUAAGUUAAGUGGUAAAGGAUGUGGGAUUGCACAGACAACCAGGAUGUUGGCUUAGAAGCAGCCACUCAUUCAAAGAGUGCGUAAUAGCUCACUGGUCGAGUGAUCCUGCGCCGAAGAUUUCCGGGGCUAAAACUUACUACCGAAGCUACGGCAUCAGUAAUGAUGGGUAGGGGAGCUUCCCAUACGGGUUGAAGCAUGACCGUAAGGACAUGUGGACAGUAUGGGAGUGAGAAUGUUGGCAUGAGUAGCGAGAUGUGGGUGAGAAUCCCACAGGCCGUAAACCCAAGGUUUCCAGGGGAAGGUUCGUCCGCCCUGGGUUAGUCGGGACCUAAGCUGAGGCCGAAAGGCGUAGGUGAUGGACAACAGGUUGAU
This 711-nucleotide ribosomal RNA is filed under the name Clostridioides difficile. RNAcentral's name for it is "partial 23S ribosomal RNA". It matches the Rfam family "Bacterial large subunit ribosomal RNA", at positions 715 to 1434 of the family's 2925-position model. The record is from RNAcentral. Lineage: Bacteria; Bacillati; Bacillota; Clostridia; Peptostreptococcales; Peptostreptococcaceae.